RNAcentral lists this ribosomal RNA (511 nucleotides) under uncultured bacterium. RNAcentral's name for it is "bacterial SSU rRNA". It matches the Rfam family "Bacterial small subunit ribosomal RNA", at positions 10 to 518 of the family's 1533-position model. The record is from RNAcentral.
AGUUGAUCAUGGCUCAGGAUGGACGCUAGCGACAGGCCUAACACAUGCAAGUCGAGGGCAGCGCGGAGUAGCAUACUUGGCGGCGACCGGCGCACGGGUGAGUAACACGUAUGCAACCAACCAUAACAGGGGGAUAACCCGGAGAAAUCCGGACUAAUACCGCAUAAGACCACGAUAUCGCAUGAUAUAGAGGUCAAAUAUUUAUAGGUUAUGGACGGGCAUGCGUCUGAUUAGCUGGUUGGCGGGGUAACGGCCCACCAAGGCAUCGAUCAGUAGGGGUUCUGAGAGGAAGGUCCCCCACACUGGAACUGAGACACGGUCCAAACUCCUACGGGAGGCAGCAGUGAGGAAUAUUGGUCAAUGGGCGAAAGCCUGAACCAGCCAUGUCGCGUGAAGGAAUGAAGGUCCUAUGGAUUGUAAACUUCUUUUGCAGGAGGGUAAAGUGAGCUACGUGUAGUUCAUUGCAAGUACCCUGCGAAUAAGCAUCGGCUAACUCCGUGCCAGCCGCAGC